GACGAACGCUGGCGGCGUGCUUAACACAUGCAAGUCGAACGGAAAGGCCCUGCUUUUGUGGGGUGCUCGAGUGGGGAAUGGGUGAGUAACACGUGAGUAACCUGCCCUUGACUUUGGGAUAACUUCAGGAAACUGGGGCUAAUACCGGAUAGGAGCUCCUGCUGCAUGGUGGGGGAUGGAAAGUUUCGGCGGUUGGGGAUGGACUCGCGGCUUAUCAGCUUGUUGGUGGGGUAGUGGCUUACCAAGGCUUUGACGGGUAGCCGGCCUGAGAGGGUGACCGGCCACAUUGGGACUGAGAUACGGCCCAGACUCCUACGGGGGGCAGCAGUGGGGAAUAUUGCACAAUGGGCGGAAGCCUGAUGCAGCAACGCCGCGUGCGGGAUGACGGCCUUCGGGUUGUAAACCGCUUUCGCCUGUGACGAAGCGUGAGUGACGGUAAUGGGUAAAGAAGCACCGGCUAACUACGUG
RNAcentral lists this ribosomal RNA (468 nucleotides) under uncultured bacterium. Its description in RNAcentral is "partial 16S ribosomal RNA". It matches the Rfam family "Bacterial small subunit ribosomal RNA", at positions 28 to 507 of the family's 1533-position model. The record is from RNAcentral.